RNAcentral lists this long non-coding RNA (373 nucleotides) under Ananas comosus (pineapple). Its description in RNAcentral is "long non-coding RNA (ACOM_LNC026144)". The record is from RNAcentral. Lineage: Eukaryota; Viridiplantae; Streptophyta; Magnoliopsida; Poales; Bromeliaceae.
UUAAUAAAUCAUCAUCAAUAGUAUUUAAACUUACCGAGCAUUGUGGAUCUAUGUUUUGAGUCUUCGAGUCUUCGAUCUUUGUCCCUUCUUCUUUAAUCCUUCAAGACUCCGACUUACUUCACGAAAUAUGUCAACUUAAAAUCCGUAACAAUCUCCCCCUUUGACAAUUUCGUGACAAAAGCAAAAAAUAAAUCAAAAUACACACAACGCUCAACUCUCCAAAAAAAAAAACUUAAAAUUCGUUGCCAUUACCAAAACAAUGAACUUCUCGCAUGAAAGAUCAAAAAAAAAAUACAAAAUUAUAAUUUGUAACUCCUAAACAAACUCUAUGACUUAAACAUAAGGAGCCUUGAAGUCUUCAAAAUCUGAAAAA